CGGCUCUCGCAUCGAUGAAGAACGUAGCGAAAUGCGAUACUUGGUGUGAAUUGCAGAAUCCCGUGAACCAUCGAGUCUUUGAACGCAAGUUGCGCCCGAAGCCAUUUGGCCGAGGGCACGUCUGCCUGGGCGUCACGCAUCACUUCGCCCCCCCUCCCCCAACAUC
RNAcentral lists this ribosomal RNA (166 nucleotides) under Hemiboea cavaleriei. Its description in RNAcentral is "5.8S ribosomal RNA". The stretch from base 2 to 135 matches the Rfam family "5.8S ribosomal RNA", at positions 23 to 154 of the family's 154-position model. From Rfam's summary of the family: 5.8S ribosomal RNA (5.8S rRNA) is a component of the large subunit of the eukaryotic ribosome. The record is from RNAcentral. Lineage: Eukaryota; Viridiplantae; Streptophyta; Magnoliopsida; Lamiales; Gesneriaceae.